AAAGAGAUCUUUGGUUUUGCCUUUGCUGACUGCUGAUCUGAUCGUCUCAAGUCUGGUGACCUGCUGCAGAAAACCCUCUCCCUCUAUCAUUAACAAGCAAUUCAGUCUGUCCUAUCACUCUCCCUCUCCCUGCUCCAUCUUUUUUGACAAGCCAUUCUAUCUUCUAUCAUUUCUCCGCCAUGAGCUCUAUCUAAUUUGACAAGCUUGAACCUGAGUUGAAAAGCAAAACAAGUUUGCCUGAAACCAAGUUUGCCUGAAACCAAGUUUGCCUGAAACCAAGUUUGCCUGAAACCAAGUUUGAGAAAAACCAAGUUUGAGAAAAACCAAGUUUGAGAAAAACCAAGUUUGAGAAACCCAAGUUUGAGAAACCCAAGUUUGAGAAGAAACCAAGUUUUUGGAAUUGAAGUUACCACAACUUCAUCGAUCUGUUUUCAGAAUUCGGAGAGAUCUCCGCUCUCACUGCUCCAUCUUUCCUGUCAUUAAACUCUCUCAUAUCCACUCAUUUUGCUGGAAAUUACAAGUAAAAAGUUGAAUAUACAGUAUUAGAAUUAGAGUACAGUAGAACUCACUGUAGAAACUACUUACAGAGCCCUACAUUUGUCAUUUUAAUUUUGCAUUAGACUUUGAAAUAAGCACUGAUAGUUUGGCUUACAAGUGCAAUUUGAUAAAUUAUAUAAACUUAUAUACACCUUUUUUUGAGAUAUAUUUGUAGUAAGAUAAUCUGGUUAUUUUGUAAUUCAGACUGUUAUAUUCACAUAAAUAUUAAAUUUGAUUCAAAUACA
Molecule: long non-coding RNA, 782 nt
Organism: Oreochromis niloticus (Nile tilapia)
Lineage: Eukaryota; Metazoa; Chordata; Actinopteri; Cichliformes; Cichlidae
Exons: 3
Source: RefSeq, a predicted model, not a curated record